Molecule: ribosomal RNA, 439 nt
Filed under: uncultured bacterium
Lineage: Bacteria
Description: partial 16S ribosomal RNA
Rfam family: Bacterial small subunit ribosomal RNA
Source: RNAcentral
CCUACGGGAGGCAGCAGUGGGGAAUAUUGGACAAUGGGCGAAACCCUGAUCCAGCGACGCCGCGUGAGUGAAGACGUCUUUCGGUACGUAAAGCUCUAUCAGUAGGAAAGAAAAUGACGGUACCUGACUAAGAAGCCACGGCUAACUACGUUCCAGAAGCCGCGUUAAUCCGUGGGGGGCAAGCGUUAUCCGGAUUUACGGGGUGUAAAGGGUGCGUAGGGGGAAUGCCAAGUCGGCGGUAAAAGCGCGGGGCUAAACCUCGCUCCGCCGUUGAUACUGGCGUGCUUGAGUGGGGUAGAGGUAUGCGGAAUGCGUGGUGUAGCGGUGAAAUGCAUAGAGAUCACGCAGAACACCGAUUGCGAAGGCAGCAUACCGGCGCCCAACUGACGCUGAGGCACGAAAGCGUGGGUAGCAAACAGGAUUAGAUACCCCUGUAGUC